GCUAGGCACAGUGGUGCAUGCCUGUAAUCCCAGCAGCUCAGGAGGCUGAGGCAGGAGGAUUACAAGUUCAAAGCCAUCCUUAGUGAGAUCCUGUCUCUA
RNAcentral lists this small RNA (99 nucleotides) under Marmota monax (woodchuck). Lineage: Eukaryota; Metazoa; Chordata; Mammalia; Rodentia; Sciuridae. The record is from RNAcentral.